Molecule: ribosomal RNA, 249 nt
Filed under: uncultured Actinomycetales bacterium
Lineage: Bacteria; Bacillati; Actinomycetota; Actinomycetes; Actinomycetales
Description: partial 16S ribosomal RNA
Rfam family: Bacterial small subunit ribosomal RNA
Source: RNAcentral
GGGGUGCUCGAGUGGCGAACGGGUGAGUAACACGUGAGUAACCUGCCCUUGACUUUGGGAUAACUUCAGGAAACUGGGGCUAAUACCGGAUAGGAGCUCCUGCUGCAUGGUGGGGGUUGGAAAGUUUCGGCGGUUGGGGAUUGACUCGCGGCUUAUCAGCUUGUUGGUGGGGUAGUGGCUUACCAAGGCUUUGACGGGUAGCCGGCCUGAGAGGGUGACCGGCCACAUUGGGACUGAGAUACGGCCCAG